Non-coding RNA from Nothobranchius furzeri (turquoise killifish), 425 nucleotides. The record is from RefSeq and is a predicted model, not a curated record. Lineage: Eukaryota; Metazoa; Chordata; Actinopteri; Cyprinodontiformes; Nothobranchiidae.
UCUUUGUUUUUACAUAGCCAGUCAGAAUGGAGUUCACAGCCUCAGUGUGUCUGGUGACCCACGGGGACCAUGAUGAAAAUUCAUCUUCCAGAAGGUCCCAGAGCGUCCAGACCCCCUGAAAAGACCAAGAUGUAAGGUGUCUGCUGUUGAUUCCAGCUUCCACCUCAGUGACAGUGCAAGCUCAGUGAACUGUUCAAGCCUGGCUGAUCACCUGAUAACUCCUGUCAUCUGGUUAUGACAGCAUGAGGAUGUCCUCACACACCUGUAACCUAUCAGCUCAUCUGGCAGAAUAGAGAGAGAAGAGACAACACCACAUCUCCUGUUCCUGGAAAGCCUUCAGCCAUCCUUUGAUGACUGAGAACCUCCAUCAGCUCUGUCUCCUGUCUGCCUACAAUUAUUAUAAUAAAUAUUGUGUUUGACAAGUU